AUGGCCGCCCCCGUCUCCACUUCCCUCUUGCCUCUCGCGAGGAGCGCACCUUCUUUCACUGGUCCGCACUACAAGAAUAAGAGAAAGAUUCCGAUGGUGCGGGUCUUCUGUGCUGCCGACGACGACGAGGAAGUCAACGAUUUGGGAGUCAACGUGGCACUAUCGAUGCUAAAAUUCUACAAAAGAGAGAUAUCACCCUUGCUGCCUUCUAGCUGCCGUUAUGUGCCAACAUGCAGCGAGUACUCUAUGCAGGCGUACAAAAGAUAUGGUGUUGCGAAGGGUACAAUCUUGACAGCAUGGCGUCUGUGCCGUUGUAAUCCUCUUGAUGUUGGAAUGCCUCACAAGAUAUCAUCUCAUCGCAACUUCAUAAAGGAGUGUCAGGACCCAAAUGUCUCUGUCUGA
RNAcentral lists this ribosomal RNA (402 nucleotides) under Triticum aestivum (bread wheat). RNAcentral describes it as "partial small subunit ribosomal RNA". The record is from RNAcentral. Lineage: Eukaryota; Viridiplantae; Streptophyta; Magnoliopsida; Poales; Poaceae.